Molecule: long non-coding RNA, 303 nt
Filed under: Androctonus crassicauda
Lineage: Eukaryota; Metazoa; Arthropoda; Arachnida; Scorpiones; Buthidae
Source: RNAcentral
GUAAGUACAAAGACAAGUAAAGACGAAGGAAAGCAAUUUCAUUUCCUUGCGCAGCCCCAUACUGAAAUGCAUAUCGAAUUUUGAGCAAGAUGCAUUGGUGUAACGGUGCGUCUUGCUUAAAAUCCGUGCGGGGAAUGGCGAUUCAAGCCAGCGAAGUGCUUUCAUCCGUUGAACUAACAGCGCCCUCUCACGGCAUUUCUGCACCCACAUUCCUAUAUGAAAUCUGCUUGUUUGGGUCCCCUCUGCCUGCCUUUACAUUUCUGACAUGUAGUUUUGAAACACCCUGUAUAAAUAAAAUAACAC